GAUGUGAAAGACCUUCGGCUCAACCGAAGAAGUGCAUCGGAAACUGGGAAACUUGAGUGCAGAAGAGGACAGUGGAACUCCAUGUGUAGCGGUGAAAUGCGUAGAUAUAUGGAAGAACACCAGUGGCGAAGGCGGCUGUCUGGUCUGUAACUGACGCUGAGGCUCGAAAGUAUGGGUAGCAAACAGGAUUAGAUACCCUGGUAG
RNAcentral lists this ribosomal RNA (204 nucleotides) under uncultured bacterium. RNAcentral describes it as "partial 16S ribosomal RNA". It matches the Rfam family "Bacterial small subunit ribosomal RNA", at positions 591 to 793 of the family's 1533-position model. The record is from RNAcentral.